This 204-nucleotide ribosomal RNA is filed under the name uncultured bacterium. RNAcentral describes it as "partial 16S ribosomal RNA". It matches the Rfam family "Bacterial small subunit ribosomal RNA", at positions 1297 to 1500 of the family's 1533-position model. The record is from RNAcentral.
AUUGUAGUCUGCAACCCGACUACAUGAAGCUGGAAUCGCUAGUAAUCGCAGGUCAGCAUACUGCGGUGAAUACGUUCCCGGGUCUUGUACACACCGCCCGUCACACCAUGGGAGCCGGAAAUGCCCGAAGCCAGCGACCCAACCUUAGGGAGGGAGCUGUCGAAGGUGGAGCCGGUAACUGGGGUGAAGUCGUAACAAGGUAUC